GACGAACGCUGGCGGCGUGCUUAACACAUGCAAGUCGAACGGAAAGGCCCUGCUUUUGUGGGGUGCUCGAGUGGCGAACGGGUGAGUAACACGUGAGUAACCUGCCCUUGACUUUGGGAUAACUUCAGGAAACUGGGGCUAAUACCGGAUAGGAGCUCCUGCUGCAUGGUGGGGGUUGGAAAGUUUCGGCGGUUGGGGAUGGACUCGCGGCUUAUCAGCUUGUUGGUGGGGUAGUGGCUUACCAGGGCUUUGACGGGUAGCCGGCCUGAGAGGGUGACCGGCCACAUUGGGACUGAGAUACGGCCCAGACUCGUACGGGAGGCAGCAGUGGGGAAUAUUGCACAAUGGGCGGAAGCCUGAUGCAGCAACGCCGCGUGCGGGAUGACGGCCUUCGGGUUGUAAACCGCUUUCGCCUGUGACGAAGCGUGAGUGACGGUAAUGGGUAAAGAAGCACCGGCUAACUACGUG
RNAcentral lists this ribosomal RNA (468 nucleotides) under uncultured bacterium. RNAcentral's name for it is "partial 16S ribosomal RNA". It matches the Rfam family "Bacterial small subunit ribosomal RNA", at positions 28 to 507 of the family's 1533-position model. The record is from RNAcentral.